AGAACGAACGCUGGCGGCAGGCCUAACACAUGCAAGUCGAACGCCCGUAGCAAUACGGGAGUGGCAGACGGGUGAGUAACGCGUGGGAACGUACCUUUCGGUUCGGAAUAACCCGGGGAAACUCGGGCUAAUACCGGAUACGUCCGCAAGGAGAAAGAUUUAUCGCCGAAAGAUCGGCCCGCGUCGGAUUAGCUAGUUGGUGAGGUAACGGCCCACCAAGGCGACGAUCCGCAGCUGGUCUGAGAGGAUGAUCAGCCACACUGGGACUGAGACACGGCCAGACUCCUACGGGAGGCAGCAGUGGGGAAUAUUGGACAAUGGGCGAAAGGCCUGGAUCCAGCCAUGCCGCGUGAGUGAAGAAGGCCUUAGGGUGUAAAGCUCUUUCGAGCGGGAAGAUAAGUGACGGUACCCGCAGAAGAAGUCCGCUAACUCGUGCCAGCAGCCGC
RNAcentral lists this ribosomal RNA (446 nucleotides) under uncultured soil bacterium. RNAcentral describes it as "bacterial SSU rRNA". It matches the Rfam family "Bacterial small subunit ribosomal RNA", at positions 26 to 518 of the family's 1533-position model. The record is from RNAcentral.